This 1941-nucleotide long non-coding RNA is filed under the name Nicotiana tabacum (common tobacco). RNAcentral describes it as "long non-coding RNA (NTAB_LNC010017)". Lineage: Eukaryota; Viridiplantae; Streptophyta; Magnoliopsida; Solanales; Solanaceae. The record is from RNAcentral.
GCAAUACCUGUGUCAAUGGUGGAAAGCAAGACCUCGGAACCAGCAACCCAAAGGAUCAAAUUUGCAACAUUACCAUUUCGACCACUUUUUAUAAGAAGGUUGAUCAAUGGAGACUUAAAUGUUCGAUCAGAAAAAGCUGACCCAAAUUCUUUCCCUACAGCAACAGCCACUCCAUAUCCUGUUAAAUCCUGAAGCCUGCAAGAUGUUAAAGCAAGUACCCAAGCAUGCCAUGUGAGCCAGCCAGUGGCGGAGCCAGGAUUUUCUUUAAGGGGAGUCAAAACAUAAAGAAAUAAACUCAUCAAGAAGUCAAGGGGUGUCAUUAUAUAGUAUAUUUACAUAUUUUUAAAAAUAUUACCUAGCUCUACAGUGUAAUUUUCCGGCGAAGGGGUGUCGGUCGACACCCCUUUGGUGUAUGUGGCUCCGCCACUGGAGCCAACAAACACCAGUUAAUACAGUGACUAAUGAAAAAAUGCCAUUUUCCCUCUGUUUUCCUUCUUAAUUUCUAAGCAAGCAAAUGCAGUAUACUAUAGCAUUCAUCAAAUUCCAACCAAACUAAAGGGAUAGGAGACAUUGCACUUGGGCUCUAACAUAUAAUGGAAUGUACAUGCUGCUCUCUCUAAUUUUUCUUGUGUUUUGUGGUAGCAUCGGAAAAACUGUUUUCGAACAUACUCUUAAUCUUACAUCAGACAGUAAAUGCCUCUAACAAUUCAAAGAAUCUGCAAUCCUUUUUACUACUUUGAUGUAUAGACAACUAGAUUCGAACAAAAUCAUCACUUAUAUUCUGUCAAAGGAUGCAUUUGAGAAUUUCUAUCAUCUAGAGCAUUUUAUACGAGGGUGUAUGACUAAGAGACUUUUGACUCAUAAGCAGUGUUUAAAAAAGCGCUCGCUUCAUCGCUUUAAGCGAGAAGCGAGGCGAAGCGUGAAAGGCAGCGCUUCAGCUUGCUGAAGCGACUCAGGUCAGUAAAAGCGACCGCUUCUCUGUAAAAAGCGAGAAGCGGGGAAAGCGAAGCGAAGCGAAGAAGCGUCCGCUUCUCUGUAUUAAAAUACCCAACCCUAUUUUAUUAAAAACAAGUUUUUUGGAUUAAACACUGAUCUUCAACAACAGCGACUAGUAUUCUUCAACUUCCAACAGCAACGACUUCUUCUUCAUCUACUUCUGAUUUCUUAAAGAAUCUCAAAGNNNNNNNNNNNNNNNNNNNNNNNNNAGUUAUUAACAGAGAAGUAUUGAACAUUUGCUUACAAUUACAUGUAUUGUCUAUGCAAUAUUUUUUUACUUUUUUUUAAAAAUUUCGCUUCACUUCAAAAAAGCGAGCGCUUCGCUUCUCGCUUCUCGCUUUAAGCGAAAUUGGGUUUGUCGCUUUUUCUCGCUUCAGGCUCUUCACAACACUGCUCAUAAGAUAAAUGUAUAUAACCUACAAGAAAUACCUUAAAAUCUUGUGGUAUUCAUCAUGCCAUGUCAUUCUUAUAGGACCAUGACAUUAAAGGUAAAAUGGGGAUGUGCAAAUUAAAGCAUUUCCAAAUAUGUAAGAAGAUGUCAAUCUUUUUGAAACAAACCAAAAGGAACGGAGAGAGAAAUCAUCCUAAAGCUGUUAUAAGCUAAAGAAACAAUGAAGAAUAGCAUCUGCGGAGAUAAAUUGCCCAGUUUGUAUUUAUGUGUUCUCUUGCAUGAAAAUUAUAACCAUGUCUGAUAAUUUAAUAAGGAAGAGAAUUACUGGAAUGGACCCAUAGGGAGACCAAAGUUGGUGAUUUGCGCAUCGAUCCUGUAGACAUCCACUCCUAGAUUGGCCAGAAUAUGUGCACCCUGGGCGUAGGGAAAGAAGGUCCUAUUGACAGCAAAGCCAGUACAAUUUCCCACCACAACAGGCACUUUCUUAAUUGCCUUGCCAACAGCCAUAAGGUCAAGAAUUGCUUGCGCAGAUGUCUUCUCUGUUCGUACUAUCU